UUGGGAUCUUGUUCUUGAUUCUGGAUUUCGCUGAUGAGAUUUAUGGAACCGUGACAAUCUGUGAGCUCCUUAUUUGGUGAUCUCUCGUAUCUUUUUUGUAAUUUUUUUCUUUUCAUGUUAAUAAAGUUUGGUUCGGUGUUCUUGUUCGUAUUUUUGUUUUUUUUGAUUUUGUUCUUUGUUUUUUUUAUUUUUGUAGUUGUUAUGUUUUGAGAAAAGAAUUAGACUCUGAUUCUCUGCAUUCUAUGAUUCUUUUUUGAAUCAAAUGACUCUGUAUUAGGCAGUUUUUUUAUCGAGAUGUCUUCUCGAGUCAGAGAUGAUUCCAAU
RNAcentral lists this long non-coding RNA (324 nucleotides) under Vigna radiata. Its description in RNAcentral is "long non-coding RNA (VRAD_LNC006384)". The record is from RNAcentral. Lineage: Eukaryota; Viridiplantae; Streptophyta; Magnoliopsida; Fabales; Fabaceae.